Non-coding RNA from Chiloscyllium plagiosum (whitespotted bambooshark), 1019 nucleotides. The record is from RefSeq and is a predicted model, not a curated record. Lineage: Eukaryota; Metazoa; Chordata; Chondrichthyes; Orectolobiformes; Hemiscylliidae.
UUCCACGAGCAGCGUACCAUGCCUGUGUGUUCUGUGCAUGCAGAGAUCACUGGUUCCAAAAACGGUAUACCACGACAUUGUAUUCUAACAUCUGGCGAAAGUUUGUAAUUUCGAUGUAUGAAUUCCUCACAUCGAGUGGAGGUGGAGGAGAAUCUGGACGAGGAAUAGCUGACGAGAGUGACAUAGUAUUACAGAGAUGACAUCUCACCAGGACAGCACCCCCCCACCCCCAUCCAGCCCCAUUAUUGGCUCAAGUUGAGGAGGGCAUGGAUGCUAUGAACCUCCACUGGAGCCAUUCAGGAGUCCUGUGUUCUGUUGCACUAUGGUUCUGUUGGAAGCACGAACAAUAUUGUAUCUUUAUUCUGCAUCAAUCUGUGGAUUUCUUAAAGUUUCAUAUGCCAUGUUUAAACGGUAUCCCUUGUUGCCCAGCAACCAUCUUUAAAUCACCCAAAACUUUGCAAAGAGGCACAAACCUGUGAUUACUCCACCAUGUAUGAUUCAUGGCAGGAUAGCUAGCGCAGAGCUCGAAAUGUGGCUUUCAUGAUCAUAACUUAAGAAAUUGGCACCAUUUCCUGGUUAUUGCGAUUUCAUUUUUGAGGUGAAAUAAUGGCUUGGACUUUCUGAUGGCCUGGCAUUGAUUAUUCUGGUGUAAAUGUGAGUUGAGCAUGGGGACCGUGCAGCAUCUCUAGUAUGUCAAACUCCAAAGGAAUUGCCCACAAAACUGAAGAAUCUGCUAAGCUGAUACCAUGCAAACAUUUUCUACCCCUGGCUAUAAAUCCCUAACACUGCACUUUGCUGAGGGUCAAGGUGUAAUACUGCAAGGCCUAACCAAGCAUCCACAAAAGAGAAGGUUUAUUAAAUGUACUAACUAUUGAAAUCACAUUGUUUGAGAACCAAAUGUUUAAUAUCACAUUGUUUGCAAAAUUUUACAUUAAACAUAAACAAUUUACAUCACUUUGUGUGCUGAACAAAUUGUUUUUCCAGCCAUCGCUACAUGUGCCAUUAAUAUUCUCCUCCUC